RNAcentral lists this long non-coding RNA (405 nucleotides) under Rattus norvegicus (Norway rat). RNAcentral describes it as "long non-coding RNA NONRATT006775". The record is from RNAcentral. Lineage: Eukaryota; Metazoa; Chordata; Mammalia; Rodentia; Muridae.
UCCCUCCCUCUCCCUCUCCCUCUCCCUUUCUCCCCCUCUCUCCCUCUCUCUCUCUUAAUAAUAGCUACAUAUCUUACACUCAUUAAAACGUAAUAUUGUUUCUCUACAUCAAGAGAUUCCUUCAAUGUUUUACUGAUCCUCUGGCCAAAGAAGAAGAAAAUGUUGGCAUAGAUAUUACGCAACCUUUGUACAUGCAACGACUUGGAGAGAUUAAUAUUACAGGAGAGCCAUUUUUAAAUGUGAACUGUGAACACAUAAAAUCAUUUGGCAAAAACUUGUAUAGACAGCUCAUCUCCUACCCACAGGAGGUUAUACCAACCUUUGACAUGGCUGUCAAUGAGAUCUUCUUUGACCGUUAUCCUGACUCCAUCUUAGAACAUCAGAUUCAAGUCAGACCUUUUAAUG